Mus musculus (house mouse) is the source of this 1949-nucleotide long non-coding RNA. RefSeq annotates it as RIKEN cDNA 4933406B17 gene. The transcript has 4 exons. The record is from RefSeq and is a predicted model, not a curated record. Lineage: Eukaryota; Metazoa; Chordata; Mammalia; Rodentia; Muridae.
GGGGGGGUAAAAGUGACCCCAACACCUCUUACAUGUGAAUGGAACUGUAGAAGAGAAAAAGUCCUGCCGAGUCAGGCUAGCAUAGCUUCCCAGAGUGGCCUCUUUCUGUUCUUGACAUCUUAUCAAAUGCUCCUGUCUUUAGCAAUAAUGCCGGCGAGCUGAUCUGUUUAGCUAGAAACUCCAUAUUCUAGAUAGUUCCUUCUACCCACUGAUCCCCUAUACAAGUGAUUACAAAUCCAUUUGCCCUUGAGUGAGUUGAGCUGGAACCCUCCUCCCCGAUGACAUAGAUGGCCCCUAUGCUCACUGAACUGAACAAAGUUCCACUAAGUAAAGCCUCCUCCGUCCUCACCAAGUGACAUUAAUACAUUGUUCUUUAAAAUGAAAUCCAUUACUCGGCCUGCUGAUGUAAACAAUUGACGUUUCCUUUAAUGGAAGCAGAUGUCUUCCAAAGCGGUCAGGAGUCAGUAAGAUAAAAAGGGGAAAAGCCAUUCUUUGGAUCUUCUUUAAUCUCACUGUUUGGUGUGUGUUUUCCCAGGACUUUCUCUCAUAGUAAAAAUAUACAACACAACCUCUGCUCUUUCGUUGUGCUUGGCUUCGCUUCGGAGCACACGCCCAGGCUCAGUGGGUGAGAUUGCAGAUAGGUAACAAAUGCCUACGAAAUGAACUAGAAGGAAAUCCAGCCAAUGCCUUUCCGUCUCGGGACAGUGUUUAUGUUUAUAAAUAUCUUCAAGGUAUAUGGGGUUGUCCCCACCAUCACUCAGGGGGGCUCUCCUGAACCUGACAUUCAUCUCUUGGGCCAGGCUGGCUGGCUGAUCAAUGAGCUCCAGGAACCUGCCUGCCUCCACUCCCCCAGUGCUGCGGUUACAGGGACUUGCAUUUUAACCGGGUCAGGAUGAAGACACCUAACAGAUGAACCUUCAAUCUGGGGUUUCAGAUGGUGGAGCUGUGGAGUAAGGUUGUUCUCCUGCAAGGCCAGCUGCUCUAGUUGUUUUUUGUUUUCAGUGUAGGACAACCUUUAGGCUGCCAUCGGACUACCUUUUACCUCUCCUGAUAGACACUAGCUGCUGCACCCCCAAGAUGAAUAAAUUAACACACACUACAGAUCUCACUCUGUGGCUUUGCUUUAGGAAGUGUGCAUGCUUUGGGAUCCACACAACUGACUGGAACACCAUCGCAUGAAAGGCUACAUAGUAGAGAUGAUCUCUACGGCCCAGGGGACCUGUCCUUUGGGCUGCUCCCAGAGCAAUGGUAACACAAGAUUCCAGGAAUCCAUCCUCAAAUCUAGAAACUCAAUCCAAUGACACACACCUGCAGUGAUGACCAGUCCCUUCACUGAGUAAGCAGAGGGCACAUAGACAGCUAUGGGUGGAAGAUGAAACCAUCGCAACCGCAUAGACAACGGUGUCAACACUGGAACCAAUGCCGGGCCAAGCAGGGACCUGGCCUAAUUCUCCAGCCAAGUGGAAGCAUUGUGCAAAUCUGCAACCGCCUCUGCAUCAUGACUGUCUAAUCCUAAUUGUAAUGUCAUCUGCUCCAGUCAGGUCUUUUGCACACAGGGCUCACUGUCAGGGUCCCCUACAGCUUUAGUAGCCCAACUUUCUUCAGCCCUUUUGGUUGGCAACAGUUUCUCCAUAUCUGUCUGAAGGAUGGAGACCUGUUGGAGAAUAUUCAGUGAGGUAUCUGUCGGGCAUUUCUUCAUGACUUGGCUCAGGUAUCCUGGGUGAAAACAACACAAAAAUAAAAGUCAGACUCAUCCCUUUCCACCUUACUGGGUCACUCAGUGUCCACUGUCCAAUCCCCAGAGCUAGUGACUUAAAUCAGGGUAGCACUGGGCUAGACUUCCCCACUACAAUGUUACCUUUUUAAUGAAUACAACUUUUAGGAGGCAUUUUUCAAACAAACAAACAAACAAAGAAACAAACUGUAGGAGGCUGGAGAGAUGGCUCAGU